GAUGAACGCUGGCGGCGUGCCUAAUACAUGCAAGUCGAGCGAACGGACGAGAAGCUUGCUUCUCUGAUGUUAGCGGCGGACGGGUGAGUAACACGUGGAUAACCUACCUAUAAGACUGGGAUAACUUCGGGAAACCGUAGCUAAUACCGGAUAAUAUUUUGAACCGCAUGGUUCAAAAGUGAAAGACGGUCUUGCUGUCACUUAUAGAUGGAUCCGCGCUGCAUUAGCUAGUUGGUAAGGUAACGGCUUACCAAGGCAACGAUGCAUAGCCGACCUGAGAGGGUGAUCGGCCACACUGGAACUGAGACACGGUCCAGACUCCUACGGGAGGCAGCAGUAGGGAAUCUUCCGCAAUGGGCGAAAGCCUGACAGAGCAACGCCGCGUGAGUGAUGAAGGUCUUCGGAUCGUAAAACUCUGUUAUUAGGGAAGAACAUAUGUGUAAGUAACUGUGAACAUCUUGACGGUACCUAAUCAGAAAGCCACGGCUAACUACGUG
RNAcentral lists this ribosomal RNA (497 nucleotides) under uncultured bacterium. RNAcentral describes it as "partial 16S ribosomal RNA". It matches the Rfam family "Bacterial small subunit ribosomal RNA", at positions 28 to 507 of the family's 1533-position model. The record is from RNAcentral.